This 305-nucleotide ribosomal RNA is filed under the name uncultured bacterium. RNAcentral's name for it is "partial 16S ribosomal RNA". It matches the Rfam family "Bacterial small subunit ribosomal RNA", at positions 506 to 807 of the family's 1533-position model. The record is from RNAcentral.
ACAGCAGUAGCCGCGGGAAUACGUAGGGUGCAAGCGUUAAUCGGAAUUACUGGGCGUAAAGCGUGCGCAGGCGGUUUGUUAAGACAGAUGUGAAAUCCCCGGGCUCAACCUGGGAACUGCAUUUGUGACUGGCAAGCUAGAGUGUGGCAGAGGGGGGUGGAAUUCCGCGUGUAGCAGUGAAAUGCGUAGAUAUGCGGAGGAACACCGAUGGCGAAGGCAGCCCCCUGGGCCAACACUGACGCUCAUGCACGAAAGCGUGGGGAGCAAACAGGAUUAGAUACCCCUGUAGUCCCUGUCUCUUAUAC